CAUUCACGGAGAGUUUGAUCCUGGCUCAGGACGAACGCUGGCGGCGUGCUUAACACAUGCAAGUCGAACGAUGAACCACUUCGGUGGGGAUUAGUGGCGAACGGGUGAGUAACACGUGGGCAAUCUGCCCUUCACUCUGGGACAAGCCCUGGAAACGGGGUCUAAUACCGGAUACGAGCUUCCUCCGCAUGGUGGAAGUUGGAAAGCUCCGGCGGUGAAGGAUGAGCCCGCGGCCUAUCAGCUUGUUGGUGAGGUAACGGCUCACCAAGGCGACGACGGGUAGCCGGCCUGAGAGGGCGACCGGCCACACUGGGACUGAGACACGGCCCAGACUCCUACGGGAGGCAGCAGUGGGGAAUAU
This 361-nucleotide ribosomal RNA is filed under the name Streptomyces sp. RNAcentral describes it as "bacterial SSU rRNA". It matches the Rfam family "Bacterial small subunit ribosomal RNA", at positions 1 to 364 of the family's 1533-position model. Lineage: Bacteria; Bacillati; Actinomycetota; Actinomycetes; Kitasatosporales; Streptomycetaceae. The record is from RNAcentral.